CUCUGCUCUCCCUGAGGAUACAGUAGGGAAAGAGAGAAAAUAUGGAGUUGGGAAAUGAGAUAUGGAGCUGGACAUAGAGAUGGCAACUCCUGGGGAUUGUCUUGAUUAUAAUAAAAAGAGGAAGAGGGUAGAAACUGAAAGACAUGGUAGGAAUGCAUUCGAAAUCUCUUGAGAUUCUACUUUGUGAUAAGGACAACCAAUUGAGCAAACUCAGCAGGACGCAUGUAUGUACAUAUUGCAAGCAAGAAGAUUUGUGAUGGCUACUAGCGCUCUUGUGGGAGAGAGCGGUGUGCAUUGUUAGACCGAUGGCAUCGUUUGUUGACCUGUUGGACCGGUAUGCAAACUGCAUAGGGUCCAGUGUGGGGGGCACCGAGCAGCAGAUGAAUGAUUUGACUAGCCGCUCAAAGCACUUCAUGAUGACAGAGGGCGUCGUCAUCCAAGCCCCUCUUCGUCACCGACGAUGGCAACACCAUGACGAGAUCCUGGUUUGCGCAACGACUCUGCUCGACUGUGCUCGCUGUGGAUUGUCCCCGGAGCUAUACACAGCGCACUGCUUCUGGAUCGGGGCAGCUACCUGGGCAUCAUUCAAAGUGCCUACAGCUACCCUGAAAAUAAUGGGGCGGUGGUCUUCAUCGGCGUACGAGCACUAUAUACGCCAAAAUGCCUUCAUCGGAGCCCAGAGGUCUACGAGUUUGAUAUGAAUGGAGCGUUGGGGCCAUGUGGUCAAGUUCUAAGAGUAUUGUAUUAAUAAACGAGUUGCAUUACA
Hypomesus transpacificus is the source of this 766-nucleotide long non-coding RNA. RefSeq lists it as uncharacterized. The transcript is spliced from 3 exons. NCBI's taxonomy places the organism in Eukaryota, Metazoa, Chordata, Actinopteri, Osmeriformes, Osmeridae. The record is from RefSeq and is a predicted model, not a curated record.